Molecule: ribosomal RNA, 78 nt
Filed under: Staphylococcus chromogenes
Lineage: Bacteria; Bacillati; Bacillota; Bacilli; Caryophanales; Staphylococcaceae
Description: partial 16S ribosomal RNA
Rfam family: Bacterial small subunit ribosomal RNA
Source: RNAcentral
UUUAUGGAGAGUUUGAUCCUGGCUCAGGAUGAACGCUGGCGGCGUGCCUAAUACAUGCAAGUCGAGCGAACUGACGAG